This 253-nucleotide ribosomal RNA is filed under the name uncultured bacterium. Its description in RNAcentral is "partial 16S ribosomal RNA". It matches the Rfam family "Bacterial small subunit ribosomal RNA", at positions 524 to 776 of the family's 1533-position model. The record is from RNAcentral.
UACGUAGGGUGCAAGCGUUGUCCGGAAUUAUUGGGCGUAAAGAGCUCGUAGGCGGCUUGUCGCGUCGGCUGUGAAAGCCCGCGGCUUAACCGUGGGCUUGCAGCUGAUACGGGCGGGCUAGAGUUCGGUAGGGGAGACUGGAAUUCCUGGUGUAGCGGUGAAAUGCGCAGAUAUCAGGAGGAACACCGGUGGCGAAGGCGGGUCUCUGGGCCGAUACUGACGCUGAGGAGCGAAAGCGUGGGGAGCGAACAGG